CAGAGUUGCAAAACUCCCUACAAACCAUUCGUGAAUCCUACCCGUCUACCGGUUGCCUUCGGCGCUGGCGGUCCGGAAGGCCCUCGGGCCCCCCGGAUCCUCGGGUCUCCCGCUCGCGGGAGGCUGCCCGCCGGAGGAUGCCGAAACCAAACUCUUGACUAUUUAGUGUCCUCUCUGAGUAAUUCUUUUACUGAAUAAGUCA
This 202-nucleotide unclassified non-coding RNA is filed under the name soil metagenome. RNAcentral describes it as "partial internal transcribed spacer 1". The record is from RNAcentral.